Molecule: long non-coding RNA, 2425 nt
Organism: Gasterosteus aculeatus aculeatus (three-spined stickleback)
Lineage: Eukaryota; Metazoa; Chordata; Actinopteri; Perciformes; Gasterosteidae
Source: Ensembl
AAAAUCUAUUUUUCUAUUUCAUCUGCCGCAGCAUUCGAUUUCUGAGGAUUCAAACAAGGGCUCCGCCUAAAGGUUCAGCCAAGUCACAGUUUAAAUUAAAAGAGCUCUUUGCUAGACUAGCGUUGCACUCCUGUUUGUUCACGACUGAUGGUUUUGGAUAAAAUAUCGACGAUGAGCAGCCAGUUAUUAUGUCUUUGUUCUUCCACACUUCCUUCCUGUUUGUUGCAACCCGGUGCUCGCGUUACCCACAAUGCCACAGGACCGUUCCGCGCUUAGCCGGAGAUUUGGCUGCGUUUUGCAAGCUAGCAUAGCGUAGCCUCGCCCCGUUAGCCUCCGGCCCGGAAGACAGAGGUUUGAUGAGCUCACAAAUCAUACUUUAAGAAAGCGAGACUACACAAAAAUAUGCCAUGAACCCUGCAGGUUAACGCAACUGAUUCUCUCCCUGGGAUUUACUCUGUGGUUUAUACUUAUAUAUAAGUAUAUACUUAUAGCUUCAGAUGGAAGUACAAAAUAAAAGCUCAUCCGUAGUUUAUUAUUUUCUUCAUUAAAACAAGAGAGAGAAGCUUUAAUUCCAGAGAGAGAAGAUAAAAUACUGAACCUGGAAGCUGAAAAACCUGAACUUGGUCCUCCGUCCGUCGUCCUCGUCCUCUUCCUUCCAAAGAGAAGAACCCGGUCAAGACGGCGCUAUUAACAGCUGUUCGCGCCACCUUGCCGGUCUGGCUCUUUAUUGAGCCUGAAGGUAGCUGUAACCCGGCGCCCGUCACACUUUGUGGUAAACAAACAAAUGAACCCUGAGCACAGCAGGAAUCUGCUGCUUGUUUGUUUUGUUGUUGUUGCGUGUGGCGAAUCGCAAUCGUGCAGACGGGAUACGCGGACGGUAACGCCACUCUGUCCGCGCCAAGAAGCCGCAAACAGAAGGUUUACAAAGUGGCCCCGGGCCGGAGGUGAUUGGGCACAGGUGAACUCUCAAUGCAUAAGCUGUGUUGGUGAGAGGAAGCCUCAACCAUAACCGUUGGUCCUUCUUGUCUUCAUCUACCUUUGUACUCGAGAAAAUACACAAUGAAAUCAGGUACAAAAGGAAAUAAGUGCUUGCUGGUAGCCACCAAAAAGGAAAAUCUUCAUCAUGAGCUCUUUUUGUCAGUGAAAAGAGAUGUUUCCCAACCUAUCGAGUAAUACAUUUUAUAAUCAUAUAUUUGAGCAUAUUUAAUAAUAACACCUGAACGUGUGUGUGUUUGAGAAGCACUCGUACGACGUGGCUGCUUUUUCUCGUCCUCACAAUCUAUUUUCAAGGCAAUAACCAAAGUUGCUUGUUGAAGAAAGUAUUUCAAAUAUACUUUUAAUUGUAUGUUUUUUGGAUAUUGCAGAGGGGGAAAAAAAGCGCCACAUACCUGGCUCCAUCCAUCUAAUAUGAAUUCAUAGUGUGAUACCUGGAGUUUAUUAAUUCAGGGCCACAGAGACAGCUGAAUAAUGAAAUUUAAUGAAAAUUUUAGAUGGACUAAAAGUCAGACUGCUUCGGUCAUUAAUUUUAAAAGCACACAUACCGUCAGUCGCACGGUAAUGAUAAAUUCCUACAUUGGGCUUCAUGCCAUGAAGUUUAGUAACUAUACUGCCUAGAAAGGACUCCAGUGGAAUCCAAGGUCCCAGGAUAUGAAAUAGAUUUCCAGAAAAUUAGCACAAUUUGAAAAUAGGACUGAAGGAAAAGGUUUUUUUUGUUUGGGGAAAUAACAGAUUAUUAAAAACAAAUCAAGGACCUCUAUAACUUUAUUAAAACAUUUCAAAUGACACUUUGUUUUUCUUUAAAAGGGCAAAAGGAGUAUGCAUCCCCUUCCAAAGUAAUAUCUCAUUAUGCUGCGUUGGACAGGUUGUCCUUCAUAACAGUUUGCAGGAAGAAUUUAACAUGUGUAACCUAUAAAAAUAUGUAUGAUUGAUAAGAAUAUAAUGUUUUUCUGCGGUCUGUUGAUUCUUUUAGCACAUGUGGCCAUUGUAGGUAAAAAAUAAUGUCUUAUAUUACGAGAAAAAGUAUAAAUUCCUAAUUCUACAUUUUUGCCAUUUAAAGUACAAUAUAUUGUUUCCCAGCUGUCUGGUUAUUAUUUUCUUUUUUAAAGUUGACAUUCGGACGAUAUGUAUAUAUGAUAUAAAAAUAGUGUGGACAUACAGUACCUAUUCCUUUUUUCUAACCCCAUAUCAUUUUUGUACUGUCCCUUAUGUGGACUUACUAAUUGGUGAUGUAUUCUUGCAUGUUACUUUUUGAAUUGUUACUAUUAAAUAAAUCCUAUUUUCAGAUGAACUGACAUGUAUCCAAAGUUGAACUGGCUGAUUGCGUACAAGCAGAGUCUGAUGGCACCACUACGGAGGACAAACUGGCCCACGCAUUACGUUCCUCUGAAGACAAAAGGUGGAGGAAGUCGCAAUAAAUCACUUGUGU